Ochotona curzoniae (black-lipped pika) is the source of this 104-nucleotide small nuclear RNA. Lineage: Eukaryota; Metazoa; Chordata; Mammalia; Lagomorpha; Ochotonidae. The record is from RefSeq and is a predicted model, not a curated record.
GUAUUCGCUUUAAUAACACAUGUACUGAAGUUGGAGUGAUACAGAGAGUAGCAUGGUCCUUGAACCAAGAUGAUAUGCAAAGUUGUGAAGUGUUCCGUAUUAAA